This 257-nucleotide long non-coding RNA is filed under the name Elaeis guineensis (African oil palm). Its description in RNAcentral is "long non-coding RNA (EGUI_LNC046920)". The record is from RNAcentral. Lineage: Eukaryota; Viridiplantae; Streptophyta; Magnoliopsida; Arecales; Arecaceae.
UCAGAUGUUGAACUUGCUGGAAGAGCUGAUCGAAUUGGUCAGCCAUGACUGGUGCUGACUGGGCCGAUUGAAUCGAUGGAGGGAUGAUCGAUUGAAUCGAUGGAGGAAUUUUUGGUGCCAGUGGUUGAACUUGAUUGUCAGCCUGACUGAUCGCUUGUCAGAAAGUGGUGGUAUUGAAAAGCCAGAAAGAUGUCCAUCUUUGAGCCAUGAAUGCGAAUGUAGGCCUUUCCUCUAUCUGUUGCUACUAAAAUCGAUCG